AAAGUUGUCGCAGUAAAAAAUCUUAUAGUAGAAUUUGGGGCGGGGGACCCCGUGUUUGGGUGAGAGUGCCCUUUGUUCCUUGAGGGUCUCUUUCCCCCUCUUUGUGUUCUAUUGGCACACAUCAUUCACUGUAAUCAAAGCAGAGUGUUCCAAGCAGGCCGUAGGGCCGGUAUGUUUAUUAUGGGAUGAUCAGAUAGGACUCGGGUGCUAUUUUGUUGGUUUGCACAUCUGAGUAAUGAUUAAUAGGAACAGUCGGGGGUAUCCGUAUUUAGGAGCUAGAGGUGAAAUUCUUGGAUUUCCGAAAGACGAACUACAGCGAAGGCAUUUACCAAGCAUGUUUUCAUUAAUCAAGAACGAAAGUCUGGGGAUCGAAGAUGAUUAGAUACCAUCGUAGUCUAGACCGUAAACGAUGCCGACUUGCGAUUGCGGGUGGCUAAUAAUUGGCCUCCGCAGCAGCACAUGAGAAAUCAAAGUCUUUGGGUUCCGGGGGGAGUAUGGUCGCAAGGCUGAAACUUAAAGGAAUGACGGAAUGGCACCACCAGACGAACCG
This 550-nucleotide ribosomal RNA is filed under the name Schizochytrium sp. RNAcentral's name for it is "SSU rRNA". It matches the Rfam family "Eukaryotic small subunit ribosomal RNA", at positions 606 to 1181 of the family's 1831-position model. The record is from RNAcentral. Lineage: Eukaryota; Bigyra; Thraustochytrida; Thraustochytriidae.